Molecule: non-coding RNA, 118 nt
Organism: Beta vulgaris subsp. vulgaris (sugar beet)
Lineage: Eukaryota; Viridiplantae; Streptophyta; Magnoliopsida; Caryophyllales; Amaranthaceae
Source: Rfam
GCCUAUUAUGGCAGUCGGCUCUCGCAUCGAUGAAGAACAUAUGCGAAAUGCGAUACUUGGUGUGAAUUGCAGAAUCCCAUGAACCACCGACUCUUGACAAUGCCAUUGAUUAUUGUUU